UACGGAGGGUGCAAGCGUUAUCCGGAUUUACUGGGCGUAAAGAGCGCGCAGGCGGUCGUUCAAGUCGAGUGUGAAAGCCCCCGGCUCAACUGGGGAGGGUCACUCGAUACUGAUCGACUCGAAGGCAGAAGAGGGAAGCGGAAUUCCCGGUGUAGUGGUGAAAUGCGUAGAUAUCGGGAGGAACACCAGUGGCGAAGGCGGCUUUCUGGUCUGCUCUUGACGCUGAGGCGCGAAAGCUAGGGUAGCAAACGGG
This 253-nucleotide ribosomal RNA is filed under the name uncultured bacterium. Its description in RNAcentral is "partial 16S ribosomal RNA". It matches the Rfam family "Bacterial small subunit ribosomal RNA", at positions 524 to 776 of the family's 1533-position model. The record is from RNAcentral.